This is a long non-coding RNA of Odocoileus virginianus texanus, 3120 nucleotides long. RefSeq lists it as uncharacterized. The record is from RefSeq and is a predicted model, not a curated record. NCBI's taxonomy places the organism in Eukaryota, Metazoa, Chordata, Mammalia, Artiodactyla, Cervidae.
CACACGGGCUCACGAGGAUUUGGUAGCCCCACAAAUCCCUGGUCCCUGGGGCACCCCGUUUGCAGACGAGAGUUGGCAACCAGACAGAACAGUUCUUGAGGCUGCACACCUGGCCCAGGGGGAGGGCCCGGGGGCCAGGUGCAGCCCAGGGCAGGCGGAGGGACUGCAGGAAGCUGGGCCAGGCUCCAGCGCAGGGCGGAGCCUCCCAGGGAAGGGCCGUGGCCUGUUCCUCGCUUACUCAUUCAUCUAGUUUGCACCAUUGUGUGGCCUGGGUGCGGGUCACGGUACCAGGGGAGCCGGCUAAGACCAAACACACAGCCCUGCCCUCAGGGGGGUUCAGAAGGGGUCGGCAAGUUCGUUGACAAACAUCAUCUCAUUUGGUGAGGUAAGAACAUCCCUGGUAGAAGGAACAGCUUGAGUGGAACAGGAGUCUGGAAGCUACGUGGGGUUGGGGCAGAAACAGUAAGUGACAGACAUGUCUGGUUGAAGCGCAGGAGUGUCAUCAGAGCCGAGGCUGGAAAUGUGGCUGGGUGAGGCUGACCUCAGAGAGCCUCUCAGAGGUCACAGAAGGAGCCUGGACAUCACUUGAGAGGCAAGGAGGAGCUCCUGCUGAGCUCUGAGCAGCGAGUGAUAAGACCGCAGACGACAGCACUGAUUAAUCCUUGGGUGAGGGGCGCCGGGCGGCCGGAGCAGAAGAAAUAGGAAGUUGGGAAGCCAGAUGAGACAGACUUAGAACAUUCUGGAAGAGAAGAGAGGGCACUGCUGAGAGACACCCACCACCAUCAACUCCCACCGCUGUGAAGCCUCACGUGGACCGAAACCCAAGGCCAACAAAGCCCUUUACAUCAGUCAUCUCCAUCUGGUGGAUACAUGGUUACCCCAGUGGAUGGGUGAGGAGACAGAGACUCAGAGAGCGUAAGUAACUUGCCCAAGACCUCGAAGUUAAUAAAUAGCAGAGCUGGGACUCAAACUCCAGUCUGUUUUCCAUCAUUCCUCAAGCAUUUAUUGUGCCAGGCCCCACAAUGAGGGCUGUCUGACACUAAAUCCACUGCUCUUAGCAGCGAGGCUACACCAGCUCAUACGGUGGUCAACCUCCAAGCCAUGAUGCAGGAAGGUAACUCAUGAGUGCAUGGAGGAACUGGAGAACAAUUAGAAAUUGGAGACGGUGGCUAAACCAUGUGGGCUAUUCGAUCACACACAUUCAGACUCACCCAACACAGAAUCUUCUGGGCCUGGAAAGGUUGAUGGCCAACACGAGAGGGGAAGAGGGAAAGGAGAGUCCCAGGAAAUUUCAGACCAUCUGCAGCCCCCUCAUUCAGCCAAGAACCUGAUCGUCACCCAGUGAUGGGAGUCCACAAAAAAAGGAGAGCUUGGGAAGGCUUCAGUCACAGGCAAUUGCAAUUCUUGGAGGUCAAAACCGACCACAUUUUGUUGGAUGCUCACAUGGUCCAAUCUAAUACAGACGCUGUCGUGUCACUUUCGCUGCUUUUCAUUCCUUCACCCAACACUGGGUGGGGUCCUAUCAAAUGCCAACAGUGGGAACACAGGAACAAAGCAUGUGUGGCUCCUGUCCCCCUGAAGCUGUGGUCUGCUGCGGGUCACAGACAGAAGACACACAGUCACAAGUGUAACAGGUGAUGGCAGCGUGUCAUAGGGGAUUACCUGUCUGGGGGAUUGGGAACAGCUUCCCCAGUGACGUGUAGUCCAAGCUGAGAACCACAGCAUGAGCUGGAAAUGCCCCAGCACAUGGGGUAGGAGGAAGGUGUCCCAGAAGAAGAAAUCAAGGGCCAGAAGGCUUUGGAGGAAAAGACAGGGAAGUCUGGCCAGGAUUUACUAUGGGAGUAACAGGCUGCCAGAUAAAGGGAGACCAGGGUUUUCUUCUGUUUAGACUUUCAAAGGUCAAGCCAAAUACGGCUUACCAUCAAAAACAUUUUAACAGGCGUAGGAUCUUUGAAAUGUUUCCUGCUGUGUUCUCCCUUUUGCUAAUUCAGUAUUUUUUUUCCUCUUCUCUCUCGAAUUGCCACCACCAUGAAACUUAAACCAUGAGGCUUUUGUCCCAUGACGGAAUGUGGGAUAACAUCUGUAGCACAGAGAAGAUUUGUUGCCAGACAGUGCAGGCGAAUGGAAGGCCCUUUCAGGGCAGGAGGAGAUGGUCGGAGGGUCCUAGGGCAGCAGAACGAUUCAGGUCUUAACGAACAAUGCCCAGAGUCCAGUGACAACACAGCCAAGGUUCAUUCACCUUCAUGGAACGAUGAGGGGAGGGGGAUCUCUAUCCCACUGAGUCACUUCGGAACACAAGAGCCUUCUGACAAUGAUCUAGCUGCCCUCUAGGGUCCUGGAGUCCUUCACCGAGCACUUCCCACUUCCCAUCCCAUGAGCAGCAAGAGGAGAGAGCAUGGAAGAUCAGAAGAGCUUAUGGGUCAGAUGGACAUGAGAAGAAUAUCCAGGGAGCUUCCCCGGUGGCUCAGUGAUAAAGAAUCCGCCUGCCAGUGCGGAAGAUGUGGAUUUGAUCCCUGAUCUGGAAAGAUCCCACAGGCCGAGGGAUCACCAAGCGCCUGAGCCACAAUACUGAGCCUGUGCUCUAGAGCCCAGGAGCGGCAACUACUGAGGCCACGAACUGCAACUCCUGAAGCCCAGGGGGCCUAGAGCCUGUGCUCUUCAACAGGAGAGAAGUGAGAACAGUGAGAAGUCCAAGCACAACAGUGGAGGCUACCCCCUGCUUGCCGCAACUAGAGAAAGCCUGCUCACAGCAGCAACAACCCAGCAGAGCCAAAAAUAAAUACUAAUACAAUUAUUUUUUUAAAAAAGAAUAUCCAGGGACUGCCACCACCACCCCGACCCCUGGCACCUGACCCCUCCUGCUUCCAGAGGUGCCCAGCCCUGCCCGGGUCACCAAGUCCCACCCCCCUGCCCUCUGGACAUGCCCCAGCCACGCCCCCUUUCCUCCGCCUUCAUCAAUUUCCCCUCCCUGCUGGAUAAUCCUCACUCGCAUUCAAAGGAGCCAGUAACUACUCUCAUCUUUACAAAACCUCUGACUGCAUGUCUCUCUCCAGCUAUCACCCCAUUUCUCAGCUCCCUUUUAUUACAAAAUUUAUCAAAAGCGUUAUCUGCCUGCUCUGC